RNAcentral lists this small nuclear RNA (94 nucleotides) under Schistosoma margrebowiei. Lineage: Eukaryota; Metazoa; Platyhelminthes; Trematoda; Strigeidida; Schistosomatidae. The record is from RNAcentral.
GCAUAUAAUCAAGACGUACAUAUACUAAAAUUGGAACGAUACAGAGAAGAUUAGCGUGGCCCCUGCGCAAAAUCGUGAAGCGUUCCAUAUUUUU